CCUACGGGUGGCUGCAGUGGGGAAUAUUGGACAAUGGGGGCAACCCUGAUCCAGCCAUGCCGCGUGUGUGAAGAAGGCCCUCGGGUUGUAAAGCACUUUCAGUGAGGAAGAACGCCUGGUGGUUAAUACCCAUCAGGAAAGACAUCACUCACAGAAGAAGCACCGGCUAACUCCGUGCCAGCAGCCGCGGUAAUACGGAGGGUGCGAGCGUUAAUCGGAAUUACUGGGCGUAAAGCGCGCGUAGGUGGCUUGAUAAGCCGGUUGUGAAAGCCCCGGGCUCAACCUGGGAACGGCAUCCGGAACUGUCAAGCUAGAGUGCAGGGGAGGAAGGUAGAAUUCCCGGUGUAGCGGUGAAAUGCGUAGAGAUCGGGAGGAAUACCAGUGGCGAAGGCGGCCUUCUGGACUGACACUGACACUGAGGUGCGAAAGCGUGGGUAGCAAACAGGAUUAGAUACCCUUGUAGUC
RNAcentral lists this ribosomal RNA (465 nucleotides) under Vreelandella stevensii. Its description in RNAcentral is "partial 16S ribosomal RNA". It matches the Rfam family "Bacterial small subunit ribosomal RNA", at positions 338 to 795 of the family's 1533-position model. Lineage: Bacteria; Pseudomonadati; Pseudomonadota; Gammaproteobacteria; Oceanospirillales; Halomonadaceae. The record is from RNAcentral.